CUUUUAUUGGACGUUGAUCGCCACGUGUCACGAUUUUAUUGAAGGUUGACAUUAAUUAAGUGCACGAAAUUAACGUCCAAUAAAAGUGUAACACAUGACUGUUAACAUUA
Molecule: non-coding RNA, 110 nt
Organism: Glycine soja
Lineage: Eukaryota; Viridiplantae; Streptophyta; Magnoliopsida; Fabales; Fabaceae
Source: Rfam